Molecule: ribosomal RNA, 271 nt
Filed under: uncultured bacterium
Lineage: Bacteria
Description: partial 16S ribosomal RNA
Rfam family: Bacterial small subunit ribosomal RNA
Source: RNAcentral
CGGUGUGUUUAAUACAUGCAAGUCGAACGCGAUCUUCGGAUCGAGUGGCGAACGGGUGAGUAACGUGUUGGUAGCUGCCCCCUACUCAGGGAUAACCCAUGGAAACGUGGGCUAAUACCGGAUAGUCCCGCAAGGGUAAAGAUUUAUCGGUAGGGGAGGUGCCUGCAUAGUAUCAGCUUGUUGGUAAGGUAACGGCUUACCAAGGCUAUGACGCUUAGCUGGUCUGAGAGGAUGAUCAGCCACACUGGAACUGAGACACGGUCCAGACUCC